Pseudophryne corroboree (corroboree frog) is the source of this 1506-nucleotide long non-coding RNA. RefSeq lists it as uncharacterized. NCBI's taxonomy places the organism in Eukaryota, Metazoa, Chordata, Amphibia, Anura, Myobatrachidae. The transcript has 6 exons. The record is from RefSeq and is a predicted model, not a curated record.
AGUGCACUGGACUGGAGGAGCCUCAGACAAGAACAUGAACAGCCCAGCAGCAGUGGCCCCUGACUAACUUAACUCCUGACACACACACGCACACACACACACACACACACACACACACACACACACACACACACACACACACACACACACACACACAUCAUUAUCAGAAAUCUCCUACCUUAUGACUGGAUACCUGGGACCAGAGAAACUAAGAUGAUUCUUUCACCCAAAUCUUUGAGGCAGUGCUUUAAAUAAGAGAGUUUUACCUCUACUUUACUCUCCUCACUCGAACUUUCUGGGACUUUGAUGUUCCUCUCCCCUUCCACGCUGUCGUUGCUGGUAUCCUCCCCCCUUCCAUGUUUUCUUGAACCUCUCCCCCCAGCAUGGCUUCUCGAGGUCUGUCUUGCUGUUGUGUAGCAUCUAGGAUGUGCAUGGGCCGUUGAUUCAAUCAGAAUGGACCAAUCACAUUGUUUUGUAGGACAUCGUCAAUAAAGAAUCUUCAUUCAGCAUUACCAGGAUGUUCGUUCCAUCCCGUAAAGAAUAGAUUCAUAAUAUGCAUUUUUGCUCUUGAUUUUCAUAAAAAUGGCAGCGAAAAAUGUGAAAUGCCUUAGGAAUUCAAAAUCCAGAGAUUAGUCUAAUAGACAACAGAGGGCUGUAGUGCUGGAGGAACUGUUGAAGGUCAGCCUGCCAUUCUACCCUGUGGCAAAUGCUGACUGGGUAUGGCAAAAAUUGCCAACAUGAGGUCAGUGUUCAAGAAGAAGCUAAAAAAAAAGGGAAUCAUCUAUAAAAUCAGGGGCAGAAGUUAUGGUUCUUUAAUCUCCUGGUGUUCACCGUCGACCAGGAGCUGCCUAGGCUGUCCAUCGCCAAUCUACCUUUGGACUUGGGUGCCUUGGCUUUGGCGUCUACCACCCCUGAACUGGAGGAGUUUACCUUAAGUGAUUCUUCUCUGCCCGUAGAUGAGGGAAGUUUGCAGACACUAGAGCCAUCGCCAGGGCUUCCAUCACCUGUCCUCUGAUCUACCCCCAUCACCAGCACCCAGUAGCCUCACAGCUGCCUGAAGUAGGCCCCAGGAGAGGACGUGAAAUGCCACAUCAGGGUUGGAAUACGUCUAAACCUAUGACUCCUCAGUUCCUUGAGUUAGCCAAUCGGCUCAUGGCAAUUGAUGAGGAUGAAUAGGACCAUGUGGGGAGCACCGUCACCAAAAAGCUAAGAAGCAUGGAUACUGCAAUGAGGGCAGAAGAAGAGAGGAUUAUGGGGGAUCAUUUAUACUGGCCAGUGUUGGUACCCUUAACAGACACAUCCAGUUAACAAAUAACCGCCUAUGCCUCACCAGGAAGUCAAUCCUAUCUGACCUGCACCUAUCCCACAACCAUGCCAUAUUAUCUUGAUCAAUAUCCCACUAUCCCCACUUUGAAAUGUGGCCACCAUCCCCUUCUGUGCACCCAUGCCCCCCACCAAUGAUAGUAGUGGCUUCUUCAUGGGUUUGCUCCCUCCCAACCUGCCCCC